RNAcentral lists this ribosomal RNA (253 nucleotides) under uncultured bacterium. RNAcentral describes it as "partial 16S ribosomal RNA". It matches the Rfam family "Bacterial small subunit ribosomal RNA", at positions 524 to 776 of the family's 1533-position model. The record is from RNAcentral.
UACGUAGGGGGCAAGCGUUGUCCGGAAUCAUUGGGCGUAAAGCGCGUGUAGGCGGUUACGUAAGUCUGCUGUGAAAGUCGGAGGCUCAACCUUCGAAAGCCGGUGGAUACUGCGUGACUAGAGUACGGAAGAGGAGAGUGGAAUUCCUGGUGUAGCGGUGAAAUGCGCAGAUAUCAGGAGGAACACCAACGGCGAAGGCAAUCCCCUGGGCCUGCACUGACGCUCAUGCACGAAAGCGUGGGGAGCAAACAGG